Molecule: long non-coding RNA, 152 nt
Organism: Sander lucioperca (pikeperch)
Lineage: Eukaryota; Metazoa; Chordata; Actinopteri; Perciformes; Percidae
Exons: 2
Source: RefSeq, a predicted model, not a curated record
AGCUGCCAAUGAAGAACAGAAUCCACAACAGCCUGAGAACCAGACCUCUGAAGAGCUGAACUACGCAGCUGUGGCUUUCCGUCCAAAAACAAGAAAAACAAGAGAAGUGGAGCCCAAUGUUGUGUAUGCUUCUACUAGAUAGACUCAGGAAG